GACCUAUUUAACCGACGCACAAUCAGCUCAUUUCCCUCUCUGAUCGUCACCUCAUGCACGUCACGGCUGCUUUGCACGGAAUUCCGAAAGAAAUCUGUAAGUUUGUUUAACCUAAUUGCUCUAGUCACUUUACAUGCCGUCUUUUAACUGAAACAAAUGCAUUUUUUGAAUACAAGAAAGGAUCAAAUCAGAACGGGUCUGCAUCUCCGGCCAGUAGCGACAUGGCGAAAGCUCCAGGUGAAUGUGAACUGGUCCAGUACACAGAACUGCAAGAUGAACACAGGUCUUCAGGUUGAAUACCAGCGUCUACUUUCAGGAAACCAGGAACUACGAGAGAAUGUUCAAAAGGGACGAUUCACCUCCACAACCUUAAACAAUCAACAAAUAAAUUCAUGUGCUGGGUUUUAAUGCUCAUUUCGAUGUUUAUAGAACCUGUAGGCAAAAUAUGCCCUGGUGAUUAACUUCUUGUGUUAAUGAAAUUAAGACUUAGCUUGACUAAUGCUGACCUAGCCAUACAAUUUAAGAUUUGCCCUACACAAAUUUCAAGGAUAUUUUUCAAAUGUCUGCCUGUCAUUUCUCAGAACUUGAGUUUUUUUUAAUAGAGUGGCUGAGUGAAGCUAAGGUUCUAAAAAACAUGACGAGCUGUUUUAAAAAGAAAUCCAAGAACUGCAGAGUUAUGGUAAACUGUACUAAAGUCUCUAUUCAGAGGCCAGCAAAUGUAAACACACUGCAACUUUGAUACUCAGACUACAAAAGCAACAUCAUUAAGUUCCUUUAUGGUUCUAUCAGUUUUUUACCAAAAAUGUGGGAAAGACUAUCAGAUAGUUAACUAUCAUCUGGCAUUUUAGAAAAACUUUAAUAUGGAGAUGUAGUUUCAGCUGACAGGGGCGUGUUGAUAUCUGAAAAAAUUUCUAUUUAUGGAGCUUCAUUAGCCAAACAACCUUUUACAAAAGGUACAAAUCUAUCUCAUGCCAAUCAGUUUAGUUCGACAUGUAGACAACAUUGUUACAGUUUGUACAACUCUUAACAAACCUGAUGGGUAGACUCGUGAAAUAAACUUGGAGAUGGUAAAGUCGAAAGUAUAUUU
RNAcentral lists this long non-coding RNA (1087 nucleotides) under Gouania willdenowi (blunt-snouted clingfish). RNAcentral describes it as "lncRNA (ENSGWIG00000001216.1)". The record is from RNAcentral. Lineage: Eukaryota; Metazoa; Chordata; Actinopteri; Blenniiformes; Gobiesocidae.